GUUUGUAGCUCAGUGGUAGAGUGCUUGCCUAGCAUAUGCGAUGCACUGGGUUCGACUCUCAGCAGCACA
This 69-nucleotide transfer RNA is filed under the name Marmota monax (woodchuck). RNAcentral describes it as "tRNA.Ala". Lineage: Eukaryota; Metazoa; Chordata; Mammalia; Rodentia; Sciuridae. The record is from RNAcentral.